GAUGAACGCUAGCUACAGGCUUAACACAUGCAAGUCGAGGGGCAGCAUGAACUUAGCUUGCUAAGUUUGAUGGCGACCGGCGCACGGGUGAGUAACACGUAUCCAACCUUCCGUUUACUCAGGGAUAGCCUUUCGAAAGAAAGAUUAAUACCUGAUAGUAUGGUGAGAUUGCAUGAUAACACCAUUAAAGAUUUAUUGGUAAACGAUGGGGAUGCGUUCCAUUAGGUAGUAGGCGGGGUAACGGCCCACCUAGCCUGCGAUGGAUAGGGGUUCUGAGAGGAAGGUCCCCCACAUUGGAACUGAGACACGGUCCAAACUCCUACGGGAGGCAGCAGUGAGGAAUAUUGGUCAAUGGGGCGAGAGCCUGAACCAGCCAAGUAGCGUGAAGGAUGACUGCCCUAUGGGUUGUAAACUUCUUUUAUAAGGGAAUAAACCCUCCACGUGUGGGAGCUUGUAUGUACCUUAUGAAUAAGCAUCGGCUAACUCCGUGCCAGCAGCC
This 499-nucleotide ribosomal RNA is filed under the name uncultured bacterium. RNAcentral describes it as "bacterial SSU rRNA". It matches the Rfam family "Bacterial small subunit ribosomal RNA", at positions 28 to 516 of the family's 1533-position model. The record is from RNAcentral.